This 1516-nucleotide long non-coding RNA is filed under the name Papio anubis (olive baboon). RNAcentral describes it as "lncRNA (ENSPANG00000044543.1)". Lineage: Eukaryota; Metazoa; Chordata; Mammalia; Primates; Cercopithecidae. The record is from RNAcentral.
GCCAUAUGCUGCUGGUGAGCGUGGUGGGAUGUGUUUAUGUUGGAUACAACCUGGAGCCCUGCACCGGAGCAUCUCACUACCAGGAGAACUGGUGUGGUGGAGGAGAGAAGCGUGAAGCCAUUUCUAUCCCAGCACACCCAGCGAUGCUGUGUUUUUUUGCAAAAGGACUGUUUGGGCAACGCUUUGCGGAGCAAGUCUAUCGGUGCCAUUUUCCCAACAGCCUGGGUUCACUUCAUGUCUCUGAGUCACAUUUUGGUAAUUUUCUCAAUAUUUCGAACUUUUCAUUAUUGUUAUAUCUACUAUGGUGAUCUGUGAUCAUGUCUUGGUUGUUACUAUUGUAAUCGUUUGGGGGUGCCAAGACCUGUGACCAUAUAAGAUGGCAAACUUAAUUGAUGAAUGUCGUGUGUGUUUUCUGACUCCUCCAUCAAUAGGCUGUCCCCCACCCCCACCCCCCCACCAUAUCUCUUCCUCUCCUCAGGCCUCCCUAUUCCCUAAUUAGCAAUUAGGCUAAUUAAUAAUCCUACAAUGGCCUCUGAGUAUUUGAGUGAAAAGAAGAGUCACAUAUCUCUCAUUUUAAAUCAAAAACUAGAAAUGAUUAUGCUUAGUGAGGAAGACAUGUCAAAAGCUGAAAAGGCUAAAAGUUAGGCCUUUUGCACUAAACAGACAAGCUGUGAAUGCAAAGGAAAAAUUCUUGAGGGAAAUUAAAAGGGCUACUUAAGCAAACACACAAAUGAUAAGAAAGCAAAACAGGCUUAUUGCUGAUAUGGAGAAAGUUUUCAUGGUCUGGAUAGAAGAUCUAACCAGCCACAACAUUCCCUUAAGCCAAAGCCUAAUAAUCCAGUGCAAGGCCCUAACUCUCUUCAAUUCUAUGAAAGCUGAGAGAAGUGAGGAAGCUACAGAAGAAAAUUUACAAGGUAGCAGAGGUUUAAGGAAAGAAGCCAUUUCCAUAACAUAAUAGUGCAAAGUGAAGCAGCAAGUGCUGAUGUAGAAGCUGCAGCAAGUGAUCCAGAAGAUCUAGCUAAGAUGAAGGUGGCUAUACUAAACAAUAGACUUUCAAUGGCAAAAACUGCAAUUACUUUUGUACCAGCCUAAUAGAAGAAAUUGCCUUUCACUGGAAAAAGAUGUCAUCUAGGACUUUCAUAGCCAAAGAGAAGUCAAAGCCUGGUUUCAAAGCUUCAAAAGACAUGCUGACUCUAUAGUUAGGAGUUAACGCAAUUGGGUACUUUAAGUUGAAGCCAAUGCUCAUGACCAUUGUGAAAAUGUUUGAGCUCUUAAGAAUUAUGCUGAAACUCCUCUGCCUGUGCUCUAUAAAUGGAACAACAAAGCCUGAUGACAGCACAUCUGUUUAAAGCAUGGUUAGCUGAAUAUUUUAAGCCCACUGUUGAGAUCUACUGCUCAGAAAGAAAGAUUCCUUUCAAAAUAUUACUGCUCACUGACAAUUUACCUAGUCACCCAAGAGCUUAAUGGAUAUGUACAAGGAGAUUAAUAUUGUUUUAAUGCUUGCUAACACAACAUC